UGGCAGUGUAGUUAGCUGGUUGAUGUUUUAAAAAUCAACAGCUUACCAAAUUGCCAUC
RNAcentral lists this microRNA precursor (58 nucleotides) under Strongyloides ratti. Its description in RNAcentral is "microRNA str-mir-34b precursor". Its record names the gene str-mir-34b. The record is from miRBase by way of RNAcentral. Lineage: Eukaryota; Metazoa; Nematoda; Chromadorea; Rhabditida; Strongyloididae.